Humulus lupulus (European hop) is the source of this 107-nucleotide small nucleolar RNA. The record is from RefSeq and is a predicted model, not a curated record. Lineage: Eukaryota; Viridiplantae; Streptophyta; Magnoliopsida; Rosales; Cannabaceae.
AUUUGGUGGUGGGGGCAGCUAGCACACAACCUCUUAAAUCUCUCCCAGUACUAAUAUAAUGACUCCCCACUCUAUUGGCAAAUGCCAUAGAUUUCAUUCCUUAUACU